GAUGAACGCUGGCGGCGUGCCUAAUACAUGCAAGUCGAGCGAACGGACGAGAAGCUUGCUUUUCUGAUGUUAGCGGCGGACGGGUGAGUAACACGUGGAUAACCUACCUAUAAGACUGGGGUAACUUCGGGAAACCGGAGCUAAUAUCGGAUAAUAUUUUGAACCGCAUGGUUCAAAAGUGAAAGACGGUCUUGCUGUCACUUAUAGAUGGAUCCGCGCUGCAUUAGCUAGUUGGUAAGGUAACGGCUUACCAAGGCAACGAUGCAUAGCCGACCUGAGAGGGUGAUCGGCCACACUGGAACUGAGACACGGUCCAGACUCCUACGGGAGGCAGCAGUAGGGAAUCUUCCGCAAUGGGCGGAAGCCUGACGGAGCAACGCCGCGUGAGUGAUGAAGGUCUUCGGAUCGUAAAACUCUGUUAUUAGGGAAGAACAUAUGUGUAAGUAACUGUGCACAUCUUGACGGUACCUAAUCAGAAAGCCACGGCUAACUACGUG
This 497-nucleotide ribosomal RNA is filed under the name uncultured bacterium. RNAcentral's name for it is "partial 16S ribosomal RNA". It matches the Rfam family "Bacterial small subunit ribosomal RNA", at positions 28 to 507 of the family's 1533-position model. The record is from RNAcentral.